Long non-coding RNA from Trematomus bernacchii (emerald rockcod), 151 nucleotides. RefSeq lists it as uncharacterized. NCBI's taxonomy places the organism in Eukaryota, Metazoa, Chordata, Actinopteri, Perciformes, Nototheniidae. The record is from RefSeq and is a predicted model, not a curated record. The transcript has 3 exons.
UGCAGCAGGACCUUUCUGAAUGGUGUACAUGUGGAAAUUGCGCCACAAUGCCUUCGGAACCUGAGAAUGUGUGCUGCAUUGAGAUACCACAGGUGUCAAGACGGAUGCAGGAACUUGAGGACUCGGUGCGUUGUAUGGUGGACCAUCCUGG